CGCUACACAUGCAGUCGAGCGAAGAACUAGUUUACUAGUUACUGAGCGGCGAACGGGUGAGUAAUACUUGGAUAAUCUGCCACUAGGAUUGGGAUAACCUCAGGAAACUGAGACUAAUACCAAAUAUGACCACAGUCUUUACGGAGACAGGGGUAAAAUGUUUUUCGCCUAGUGAUGAGUCCAAGUCGCAUCAGGUUGUUGGUAAGGUAAUGGCUUACCAAGCCUAUGACGCGUAGCAGGUCUUAGCGGAUGAUCUGCCACAUGGGGACUGAGAUACGGCCCUGACUCCUACGGGAGGCAGCAGUGAGGAAUAUUGGACAAUGGACGAAAGUCUGAUCCAGCGAUGCCGCGUGAAGGAUGAAGGCCUUAGGGUUGUAAACUUCUGUCAGCAGGGAAGAUAAUGACGGUACCUGCAGAGGAAGCCCCGGCUAACUCCGUGCCAGCAGCCGCGGUAAUACGGAGGGGGCAAACGUUAUUCGGAUUUACUGGGCGUAAAGGGUUCGUAGGCGGUUUUUUAAGUUAGAUGUGAAAGCUUGAAGCUUAACUUCAAAAUAGCAUCUAAAACUGAAUUACUAGAUUCUUGGAGAGGUAGAUGGAAUUACCGGUGUAGCGGUGAAAUGCGUAGAUAUCGGUAGGAACACCAGUGGCGAAAGCGAUCUACUGGACAAGUAAUGACGCUGAGGGACGAAAGCGUGGGUAGCAAACAGGAUUAGAUACCCUGGUAGUCCACGCCCUAAACGAUGAAUACUAGAUGUUGGAUUUUUUCAGUAUCGUAGCUAACGUAUUAAGUAUUCCGCCUGGGGAGUACGGUCGCAAGGCUGAAACUCAAAGGAAUUGGCGGGGACUCGCACAAGCGGUGGAGCAUGUGGUUUAAUUCGAUGCUAAGCGAAGAACCUUACCAGGCUUGACAUGUAAGCAUAAGCUUGCGUGAAAGCGUGAGUGAUUUGAGUUUACUCAUUUCGGUUUACACAGGUGCUGCAUGGCUGUCGUCAGCUCGUGCCG
This 1002-nucleotide ribosomal RNA is filed under the name uncultured bacterium. Its description in RNAcentral is "bacterial SSU rRNA". It matches the Rfam family "Bacterial small subunit ribosomal RNA", at positions 47 to 1067 of the family's 1533-position model. The record is from RNAcentral.